GACGAACGCUGGCGGCGUGCCUAAUACAUGCAAGUAGAACGCUGAAGGAGGAGCUUGCUCUUCUGGAUGAGUUGCGAACGGGUGAGUAACGCGUAGGUAACCUGCCUGGUAGCGGGGGAUAACUAUUGGAAACGAUAGCUAAUACCGCAUAACAGUAGAUGUUGCAUGACAUUUACUUAAAAGGUGCAAUUGCAUCACUACCAGAUGGACCUGCGUUGUAUUAGCUAGUUGGUGGGGUAACGGCUCACCAAGGCGACGAUACAUAGCCGACCUGAGAGGGUGAUCGGCCACACUGGGACUGAGACACGGCCCAGACUCCUACGGGAGGCAGCAGUAGGGAAUCUUCGGCAAUGGACGGAAGUCUGACCGAGCAACGCCGCGUGAGUGAAGAAGGUUUUCGGAUCGUAAAGCUCGGUUGUAAGAGAAGAACGAGUGUGAGAGUGGAAAGUUCACACUGUGACGGUAUCUGACCAGAAAGGGACGGCUAACUACGUG
This 495-nucleotide ribosomal RNA is filed under the name uncultured bacterium. Its description in RNAcentral is "partial 16S ribosomal RNA". It matches the Rfam family "Bacterial small subunit ribosomal RNA", at positions 28 to 507 of the family's 1533-position model. The record is from RNAcentral.